UGCCUCGUCUUCAGUCUCUUUGACGGAGGUCUGAGGCCGGGUCUUUUCCCCAUUUCUUUGUGCCGGUGGCAUCAUCUAAAGUCAAAUUCCAGCCGUGUAGGCUACUUCGGAACGACUCGGCCAUUGAACAGGCCGCUGGCCUCUUCCUUCUGGAGAGUUAGGGACAAGGCCCCUCCGAGACUUCCGAGGACUGACUGGCAGGGGUGGUGUUUUUAGGACCUGGAAGUGCCCUCCUGGCAGACUGGGGCUUCUUCUCUGGGCAGGUCUGCCAGGAGUCCUUCUCCGAGAGGCUCGUUUCCUUAAAGCAAGAAGCCAUAUUAAAGAAGAAAGAGAAUACGUUAUUUGAAUUUCCUUAAAAGAUUGGCAGAGGGGUUUAAUGUAAUUGCCAAGCAAUGAAACGUAACUAUUAACUUCAAGUUCAGAUCACUGUUGAGUCCAGGUUCAGCAAAAACAGCCAGGCCAACAAGUUAGAAGCACUCCCAGCUGCUUGAGCUUGCACAUUGAAUUCAGUCACUGGUUAAUGCAUUUAUGUAUUCAACAGCUGCAUUCCACAUGACUGUUAAAGGACCUGUCAAAAGCAAAACCUUUUACAGAUAAAGAGUUAUAAAACUACAGUCAAACCUUAAUUACCCUAUGGAGGUCAUGAAGUGGCUGAUAUUCUUAAACAAUGGAUAUUUCUAGGGGAAACAUCAAUAUAAUUACUUUCUGCAUAUCAUGAGACACAGGAAAAGUGUACAUUUCCCCAUGAAAAAGAAUUUUAAUGGGCAGCUUUUUGCUUGAAGUGAAAAAGUGUCAUUGCAGUGUAAUUAAACACCUUGAGCUGAGAUUACCCUGGUGGGCCCUAAAUUUAAUCUUGAAUGUCCUCAGAAAAGCAGAAGGAGAUUUAUGACAGACAGAAAAAGAAAAGGCACAGACAUGGGAAAUCGAUGUGAAGACUGAGGCAGAGCAGAGGGACAUCACCACAAGCCAAGGAAUGCCAACUGCCAGCAGAAGCUGAAAAAGGCAAAGAUCAGAUUUUUCCCCUGAGUCUAUAAAUGGAGUGUGGGCCUGCUGAUGCCUUGAUUUUGAACUUCUGGCCCCCAGACUGAGAAAAUAAAUUUUUGUUGUUUCAAGCCACUAAUUUGUAAUGACUUGUAUAGCAGUCCCUGGAAGCUAAUACAUCGUAUGAGUUCAAUAAUAUAAAUGUUUUCCAACUUACUGACUACAAAUUCCAUGACAGAAGGGACUACUAAGAUUGUAUCGAUUGCUGUGUUUUGCACAAAUAGCCUGGUGAGGCAGAUUAACCUGGGAGGAAGAGUAUCUCUGCACAUGGCAGAUGAGAAAAAAAAAAUGACUGUGUUUCCCACUCUUCCUUGCAACUGGAUGUGGCCUAGGAACUAUUUUGUGUCAAAGGGAUAAAAACACAGUGAAGUGAUAACUACAGAGAUGUGCCCUUAACAGGAAAGAGCAUCACAAUGGAGGACAGGGAGCUACCUAUUUAUAUAAGAAAUAUAUAUGUUUUGGUACAAGAUGAGGUGAGAUAGAGAACAGAAGAAGUGCCUGGAGGAACAUGCCAUAAAAGUGCUAUACAACUCCUGAAUGCCUACACAAACUUUUCUAUAAAGAGAAGUAAAAAAGUUAUAUUGCUCUUUUGUAUGCUGGAGCAGGGUGGAGUUCUCUAACAACCAAACUUAAUCGUAACUAAUAUAUAAGAUAAUUGACCCAUAAUAUUUGUUGCGUGGGUUGAAUGAAUUUAUAUAAUUAUCUGGGGGUUUUUUAUCAUUCAUUUUCUUGAAGAAAAUGAAUUCACUUGAAAUAUUCAUCAAGUGAAAUAUCUUUAUACUCUUGUCUCCUACUCACCUGUAUUUUAAGAUAUGAAGAAUGAUCCAUUUAUAAGAAUUUAAUGGAAAUGUAUAUAUUGUGUGUAUAUAUAUAUGUAUUAUAUAUUUUUUUCUCCUCCUCCUACAUGCAAGCCAUGAAAUAUUUUUAUUGAUUGCAUUAAAAUGUUCAUUUCAAAUUCAUAAGAGCCAAGUAUCAAUUUUAAUUCCUCAUUAGUUAUAGUACUAGAUUGUAAAUGUUUAUUGAAAAAAAUAUAAUUAUAUCGAUGCUUAUCAUUUCAACUCUAGAAUUAAACCUUUUAUACAUUGUUGUCCAUAAAUCUACCUUAUCAAAACAUAUUUGAAAAAAAAUUUAAAGAUGUUUUAUUGAAGCAUCCAAGGUAUGUACUUAUUAUCUCCAUAAAAAUGUUGGCUGUCUAGAAUUAAAUUUUUACUUCUUUACUCAUAGCUUUAUGAUGAUCAGUUAAUAUAUGUCACACUGAUUUUUAUAUUUCAACUCUUGGAGAGAACUUUCUACCAGCAAUACUGGAUGAUUGUACCUUUCUGGAAUUUAAAUAAAUUAUAUACCCCGCAGUUCAUCUUGUUGCAUUUUCGAAAUGCCAACUUAAUGUGUUUCUGGUAGAUGAUGUUUUACCCUCAUUGUCAUAGAUCUAUGGAAGAUCUUUCUUCCAGUUAUCUCUUCUUAAGGUGAUUUUGUCCAGAUAAAUGCCAGAAGACAAUGAA
Canis lupus familiaris (dog) is the source of this 2540-nucleotide long non-coding RNA. RefSeq lists it as uncharacterized. The transcript has 5 exons. NCBI's taxonomy places the organism in Eukaryota, Metazoa, Chordata, Mammalia, Carnivora, Canidae. The record is from RefSeq and is a predicted model, not a curated record.